This 468-nucleotide ribosomal RNA is filed under the name uncultured bacterium. RNAcentral's name for it is "partial 16S ribosomal RNA". It matches the Rfam family "Bacterial small subunit ribosomal RNA", at positions 28 to 507 of the family's 1533-position model. The record is from RNAcentral.
GACGAACGCUGGCGGCGUGCUUAACACAUGCAAGUCGAACGGAAAGUCCCGGCUUUGUGGGGGUGCUCUGGGGGCGAACGGGGAAGUAACACGUUAGUAACGUGCCCUUGACUUUAGGGUAACUUCAUGAAACUGGGUGUAGUACCAGAUAGGAGCUCCUGCUGCAUGGUGGGGGUGGGAAAGUUUCGGCGGUUGGGGAUGGACUCGCGGCUUAUCAGGUUGUUGGCGAGGUAGUGGAUUACCAAGGCUUGGACGGGUGGCCGGACUGAGCGGGUGACCGGACAAACUGGGACUGAGAUAAGGCCCAGCCCACUCCGGGAGGCAGCAGAGCAGUAUAGUGUACAAUGGGAGGAAGCCUGAUCCAGCACAGCCACGUGCGGGAAGUCGGCAUUCGGGUUGGAAACCGAUUUCGCCUGUCACGAAGUGUGAGUGACGGUAAUGGGUAAAGAAGCACCGGCUAACUACGUG